RNA transcript from Fragaria vesca subsp. vesca, 1372 nucleotides. RefSeq lists it as uncharacterized. NCBI's taxonomy places the organism in Eukaryota, Viridiplantae, Streptophyta, Magnoliopsida, Rosales, Rosaceae. The record is from RefSeq and is a predicted model, not a curated record. The transcript has 4 exons.
UUCGGAAUCGAGAGAGAGAGAGACUGAGGAGGAGAGCGACGCCGCUCGGUCCCCGUCCAGGCGCGCCUCCGCCGCCGUCAGGCCGUCGCUGGACGAUUGGCGACCACCGUUCAGCUCGUCUCUCUCUCCUCUACAUCCUCCUAACCGUCGAUUGACAUGCAUCCACCACCUUCUUAAGAUCGAAAAUCCAAAACCUAACCCCCAAAUUCAAAUUCCGGUCAAAUCCCUUCUCCCCCAGCGAGUUCAAGCUUCUAAAAGGUAAUUUCUCUUUUCCCUCUUCGUUUUCCAUCCCCCUUGAGCUUCGAUUUUCAGAAAUAGAGCCCUAAUCCGAAUUUCCUUUUUGGGUUCGAGGUUUGAUUUUCAGGCGAGCCUAGCAACGUUCGAUGGGUGCCCAUAUGCGCCUUGAAGGAGGCUUGGAGGCCGCUGUUACUGUUUCGGAGGGAGGCAGUGGCUUUGGGUGAUUGGCCGAGUGUCUUUAAUCUCUUAGCUCUAGAUUCAUGUUUUCAAUAGGUUGGAGGUCGCAAAAGACCUUUUAGAGCAAAUUGAAGUUGUAGAAUAAUUGCACAGGCCACUUUUGCUAGCAAUAGGCUGCCUUGCAUUGCAUAUAAGGGCAGAAGUAUGGAGCAUUAUUUUCAGCUUUAUUUGUUGUAGCCUUCUCACUAAUAUUAUGAGAGCAAGAUGCAAAUAUGUUUCUACAAAGCUUGCUGAAAAACAGUCCAGAACCAAUGGCUAUAUUCAAGAUCAACUUUGAGGAGAAAAAGGCUAAUGAUGAAGAAAGAGUUGGCUGCCAGAAUCGGUUAUGAUGGUGCAUGUAUUGUGUCACUAUUGUGACCUCUAGAGAAAGAUAAAACAGAUUCAGACAGCUUCCAUCAAUGGCAUCUGUGAAGGAACACCCAUAUUCAGAACAUAAAUUUUAUAUCUAUUGUAGUAUGGGUUUGCGAGUGUUAUGAUUUAUCAGACCAAAAGAUUCUCCAUGUUGCAUCAAGAACAAUAGUUAACCUCACACGCAUGCAACACACUUCCUCACACGCAUACAAGGCUAGUAGUUUAUUAAACAAGUUGUUGCCACAUUAGAAGCAGAAGACUAUUGUGGUGGAUGUCGGUUGACAAUCACUUGGAUUUUUCGUUUUUCAAUUUGAUUUCUACUCUUCACAAUUGUAUGUUGCUGAUUUCGUAGGUUCAUAUUCUCUUGAGAUUAUGUCACAAAUCCUUACAACUAUGUUUAUGCUAAAUUUCAAAUGGACUAAUAAGCUAUGAUUCUGCUAAAUUUCAAAUGGACUCAAAAUCAAUUUCUUACAUGAGCAUGUCUUAAUGAUGCAUGUCAAAAUGGUCAGUCCAGUUGGGGUUACCACAAAUGUAUCAACAGUCUUUA